Molecule: long non-coding RNA, 1075 nt
Organism: Oncorhynchus tshawytscha (Chinook salmon)
Lineage: Eukaryota; Metazoa; Chordata; Actinopteri; Salmoniformes; Salmonidae
Source: Ensembl
GUAAGAAUAUUUUAACAUGGCUGCCUAUUGCGGAUUUGACCUUUUUGUCUUCUUUCAAAUAGAUUUUAGUUUUGUUUCGCAACAUUGACUAUUGUGCAAUUCAAUUGCGCCGUAAUAAAAGCAACCUGACAAUACACCAUUUUCUACAUAAUAAGUCAUAAAAUAUAUAUAUUUUUUGGACUAGACAACAGUCAACAUGACCACCAGUAUAAUAUACUCAUUUAAAACACGAUUCCCCGUUUGCUUUAUAGCGGUAAGGUUGGGGCCAGUGAAACAGGACGAACUAGGAUACAUCUACUACUAAUAUCUACUGCCAUAUAAACUAUUGUAUAUAUUCUACUAUACUGUGAACAGCUUUAGAGUUGGUUUAAAUCAAUGUCAAUUUACCUCGCUAGGAUGGAGAAUGUUUACAAUCCACGUUUGUUCUCUUGGCAACAGUUGUCUUUUUUUUUUUUUUUUUUUUUUUUAAAGGUUUGACCCAACAUCUGUGGGACUAUCAGUUAGUUAAAUGGUUGGUAGGCAGACGGGAUACAGACAGACCCAGCAGGUUGGUAGGCAGGUAGGCAGACGGAUACAGACAGACCCAGCAGGUUGGUAGGCAGGUAGGCAGACGGAUACAGACAGACCCAGCAGGUUGGUUGGCAGGUAGGCAGACAGAUACAGACAGACCCAGCAGGUUGGCAGACAGAUACAGACAGACCCGGUAGGUUGGUAGGUAGGCAGACAUAUACAGACAGACCCGGUAGGUUGGUAGGUAGGCAGAUACAGACAGACCCGGCAGGUAGGCAGACAAACCCGGUAGGUAGGCAGAUAGACCCGGUAACUGUAGACAUUUUAGGUUUCCAUUGAGCCGGGUUUAAUAAGACAAACAACAUAUAUAUAUAUAUAUAUACAUAGAGACAGAGAUAUUUCACGUUAUAUAUUAUCUACCUCACUUGCUUUGGCAAUGUUAACACAUGUUUCCCAUGACAAUAAAGCCCUUGAAUUGAAUUGAGAGAGAGAGAGGUGUCAUGGAAACGGUAGAGAUAGGAGACAUUUUCCGAAGGUCGACAACAUUUUAUCCAUUGAACAGGGG